AAGAAGAUCAACAAAGUUAGACCCACUCCUAUAUGGAUUAAAAUCCAUAUCUGAAUGCAAACAACAAAAGAAAGAAAGAGAAGAACAAGAGGAAAGUGUUUAAGAUAAGAAAGACAAGGAACAAGAGGGAACCAGAGGAAGGCGUUUAAGAUAAGAAAGACAUGGAACAAUAGGAAGGCGUUUAAUAGAGGGAAGAGGACUUGACAUAUAUCUAAACACAUUCAUCACAACCUUCCUAUACUUGACAUAUAGCUAACACAUUUAAAGAUCUAAACACAUUCAUCACAUCUAUUUAUUACUUACACAACUGUAAUCUAACCCUAAACGAUACAUUUAUUGCAGACACUUCAAGUUAAACAAGAAUCAAAAGACAUUAAGCUCAGUUGUUAGAUCAAACAUAGAUGUUUACCUGUAUUGCAAAUGUUGCCCUUUUGCUCUCCUAGCCUUGCUUAUGUCUCCUUAUCGUGUUUCUUUAUUGUGUAUCCUGAACACGUCUCCUUAUCCAACAGACACAAACACAUAGAAGAAUCAAAAAAUAAUCACAGGAAGGAAAUAUUAAAUUGAACAAAAAUGUUCUUCAUUCUCAAGAUUCAAGAUCACGACACCAAGCCACCU
This 615-nucleotide long non-coding RNA is filed under the name Brassica napus (rape). Its description in RNAcentral is "long non-coding RNA (BNAP_LNC016354)". The record is from RNAcentral. Lineage: Eukaryota; Viridiplantae; Streptophyta; Magnoliopsida; Brassicales; Brassicaceae.